Molecule: RNA transcript, 8276 nt
Organism: Anopheles stephensi (Asian malaria mosquito)
Lineage: Eukaryota; Metazoa; Arthropoda; Insecta; Diptera; Culicidae
Gene: Ptp61F
Gene name: tyrosine-protein phosphatase non-receptor type 61F
Exons: 8
Source: RefSeq, a predicted model, not a curated record
ACCGCACCAUGUACGAAUUACCUUGGCACACGGAAAGUGUGAUUUAAUCUAGAGCUCGCAAAAAUCCGAGCAGGGUAGAGAAGGGCAGUGCUAAAGAACCAAGAAACAAGACCACGAGCCGAACAAAUUCCCAUUUGCUUGUGGCUGCAGCCGUCAAUUCGCCAGUGGUACGAGAAAGCAGGGCUGUAUUCGCUGUAGGGCCCACCGUACCCCUGAGGCCCUGCACGAAACACGUACCCGAGUGCGUGCGUGUGUGUUUGCAGAGAGCGGCAUCAUCAUCAUAGUUGCAGGCGGCUCGCGGAAACAUCCCAAUUUCCAUCGCCGAUUCCAUUCCGUGACGCGAUCCGUACGUGCGUGUGCGUGUUUGUUCCAUACCGUUUGUGUUGUAAAAAUGGUGUAAGCGUCUCGGAUUUUUUUUUCGUGCCAGUGUUGCAUUUCCGUUUAUUCCCAGUUUUUACGCAUCGGUUCACGGGAUAGACGGGGCUUGGAAGGUGCGGUGUGCGGUGCAGGAGUGUUCCCUAAUCCCUCGUGCUCGAUUGCUGCUUGACCGUGUGGCGGCAUGGGUUUGGUCGAGCGAAAGAAAAUGUCGGCGAAACAUCAUCCCAUUCAUUGACGGGCAAGUGUGUACGAGUGUGCGUGCGUGUGUGUAGACGUGCGUCAUUUCGUCGGGAAUCCAUUAAAUUUUUGGGUCCAGAAAAUCGAAACAGGGUUUAACAGCGAAACGCAGCGUAGAAUCCAGUGCCGAGAGUGUUUCCGUCCGUGAAUCUACGUGCGUGUGCUAAGUGGAGAUCUUCUUCUUUUUCUUCUACCUACGCCUGCCACCAACCCAUUCGACGUGCGUGCAGUGUAGUGGUGUGGUGUUGUGUUUUUGUUAUUGUUACAUCUCGCACAUUCUCCAUUCGAGACCCCAACAUGGAGCAGCGGUACGGCAGCUAGCGAAAAGAGUUGCUUCAUUGUUGGUCUAGUACUCGCAGAACGGUGUGUCGCUGUGUGAGUGUAUUUGUGUGUGUGUGUGUGUGGACCAGUGGAAACAGUCCGCUGGUGGUGGCAGCGUUGGCUUUGUGCAGCUCGGUUGGCCCUUUCGGUUUUGUGCAUUCGAGAUCCCGCGUGUCUCCCGCGACAACGUCGAUCGAGUCGUGUAAAUGGUGGUUGGCUAGUAAGCGCCUGGUGUGUGCUGGUGUGAGUGCUGUCCCCGUAGGGAGCAAGUGUGCUAAAAAGUAGCGAAAGAAGGGAAAGGAAAAAAACAACAACCACAUCGCAGCAUACCGUGGAAUGCAAAACGUCACGGCGGGCUAAAGGCAGCAACAGUGUCGUCCAACUUUACUUGAACCCCCUACUCUCUCCCUUCAUUUAAGGUAGCACAGAUUAGGGGUACAAAACGACAACCCGCCCACAAAUACACACAGCCCGACAACAGCAUUUUAAAUAUCCGCCGAUUGUGCGGCGUCCCGGUACACUACCUUGCGGCGGAGUGGAAGGAAAAGGGGCCCGGGGGAAAAAAAAACAGUGGCACUAUCGAUCGGGGGAAUAUCCCGAAAAGGAAGGUGUUCGAUUUUGCGACCACGCCAGCUGCUGCUGCUGCUGCAACGGGGGCUGAUAGUUACGUUAGACGGGAAAACCCCGUUGUGUCCGAUCGAAGUGACAGAACAAGGGCGUCCGGCCGACGGUAAGCAACGACGAUGAGUACCGCCAACAACAGCACCACAACCACGACCACGAGCGGUGGGAAUGAUGGAAACAACAGUGGCGGAGGAGGAGGUAACGGUGGAAGCAGCGGGAGCAGCAUCGAAGUCGAAUACAACGAAAUCGUAUCCCGGAGAGGUUGGCCGAUGGUAUUCCAGGAUAUUCGCGAGCGAAGCGACAUUCAGGCACGGGCGAAAAAGUUUUCCACCGACGAAUCGAAAAAGUUGGACAAUCGGCGACUGAAUCGAUACCGGGACGUGCUACCGUACGAUCAUUCCCGGGUAGCCCUGAAGCGUGGCGAAGGUGACUACAUUAACGCGAACCUGGUGAAGAUGGAACGGGCUGGACGGAAGUACAUUCUCUGCCAGGGACCGCUGCCGCUAACGGUGGGCCACUUUUGGGUGAUGGUGUGGGAGCACGAUUCGCGCGCCAUUCUAAUGCUGAACAAGCUGAUCGAACAAACGACCGUCAAGUGUCACCAGUACUGGCCGGCAAAGAUCGGCGAACAGCAUCGGCUCGAGCUGACCGAUGUGCAGCUCUCGGUGGUGCAUCUGAAGUGUGUGGAGUAUAAGAAUUUCUGCAAAAGAACGUUCAGACUGACGGACAUGGAGACGGGCAAAAGUCGUGAAGUGAUACAGUUUCACUACACGACUUGGCCGGACUUUGGCAUCCCCAGCUCGCCGGUAGCAUUCCUACAAUUUCUGAAGGAAGUGCGCGACUCCGGAACGCUCGAUCGUGACGUUGGCCCACCGAUAAUCCACUGCAGUGCUGGUAUCGGGCGUUCCGGAACGUUCUGCUUGGUGGACUGCUGUCUGGUGCUGGUCGAUAAGGAAGGAGAGGAUCGGGUAUCGGUCCAGGAUGUGCUGCUCGAGUUGCGACAGUACCGUAUGGGACUGAUUCAAACUCCGGAUCAACUGUACUUCUCGUACCAGGCCAUCAUCGAGGGCAUGAAGCGUAUGAAUAACUCCUCGUUCGAGGAGUUUGAAGAGCUGUCGGUGGUGUCCUCGUCCAGCCAGCAGAACAGCGAUCAGGAGGAUAACGAGGAUACGCCACCGCCACUACCGCCCCCUCGCACCCAUUCGCUCACGUCCAAACCGUUGCCGGUCAUACCGACGAGCGAGAGCGUGCACGAGGAGUUCCUGCUCGGCAGCAGUAACGGGGGCGACCGCGACAAGGUCAACAACCUGGUCAAUCUGGAAAAGAGCAAGCAAUUUGAGAUGGGUGACGAAAACCACCAUCAUCACAACAAUCACCAUCAUAAGCGAAAUGACAGCGGCAACAACCACCACAACAACCACCAUCACCAUCCGUACAGCAACCGGCCAUUGCCACCGAUCGUGCGGGACAGUUCGCUGUACAAGGUGAACGAGCUGGAUAGCGAUGGUGGUGGUGGUGGUGGUAACGACGGGGAUGGAAGCAGCGGCAGCGAUGGCAGCGAUUCCAACGCGAUGAGCAGCGAGGAUGAGCUGAUCGAGGAGAACGAUAGCGAUAUCGGGGAGGCGGAAGACGAUGAGGAAGACGAGCUGAAGAACCGCGGCGCCAUUGGCCGAGACGUUCCGUCCGAUAACAGUGAUAACAUUAAAAGCUCCCUGCUGGAUGAAAGCAGCAGCACGACAACGGGAACGACGACGACAACGACCACAUCCACGAGCGGCGGUGGCACUUCGACGGGCAUCUCCAGCUCGACCUCGGUAUCUACCAGCUCGUCCACCACGGCCAGUGCGAUCGGUUCGAACAGUUCGACGCUGGAGUCGAAGCGGGGUGGUGUGGACUCGAAAUCGAGCGAGCAGCAGGCGUUCAAUGCGAACUCGAGCCUACCACCGUUGCCGAACGGUGCGCUGGACGAUGGUGACGAUCCGAUCUCCAGCCCGGAGCGAGAAUUGUCGCCGAACGCCGAACUGCGGCGCCGCAAGCGCAUCGAGCGCAUGUCCGCGAUGGAGGAGAAGAUACGCGAGAUCAAGCGCAAGCGGAAAGAGGUGGAAAGCAAGGGAUCGCCGAAAAAGCGCAGGUUAUUACUGUUUUCCAUUGCAGCCGGUGUUUGUUUCAGCGUUCUGUGCGUAUAUCUUUACACCAAGCAGAUGUAAACUGCUGGCGCCUGAUUUGAUGCAGGCUUGAGACGAUGCAACAAUGAUGCUGUUGGUGAGAAUUGUAGCAGGGCACUAAAUCGGUGAGAGCUAAAAGCAACAGAAAAAAAAACAACAUUAAGCAGUGUACUAAUAGGCCAAGGAAAAAUCAUUCCUACAUGUCAGGCGGUGGCGGCAGCAGAACGAAUCAAAAUGUCUUACAAAGCUGAUAUCCAGCUCCUUCACAAAAAGAAACCGCAUUAAACGCGCGCGUAACUUUUGAUAGCAGCGUGGAUCGGUUCGAUUAUACAUACCGAUUAUACGUACGACGAUCAUCAUCCAUCCCACUCGUAUUCGGGGUACAUACAUGACGGUGAGAUAAUGUUAAAGUGGUGUGAUUUUGAACCGUUUAUUCCGAUGUUUCCCCAGGGGUGAAUUUGGACAAUUAUUUUGUCCUGCAAUCAUUUUUUUUAACUGAGGUUUACAUAGCAGCAGUUCUGGGAUGUGUUUGAUUAUUUUUCCUUCACUCUUCCACUACAUACGGGAACUGUGGAACGACCGCAAAAAAUCUAUAACGAAUAAUAACGCUUGCAAAACUACUGCAUUCCUUCGAGAAUGUCGCUCUGCGCGGAUCUUAUGAUCGAUCGAGUUUUGGGAGAUUUCGCACACCUUAUUUAUUCACACCCAUCGUCAAGUGGCGGUGAUAGCAGCAGCUUUGAUUAGUGAGACGCUGGCGCCGGCAAGCGGCAAGAAUCUCUUUUUUUUUUUUUGGAAAUGUGCCCCGCUGAGAGCCGUACGAUGGUUACUUUGCGACUUUUGCGAUUGUGAAACAAACAGGAAACAGGAACACAAUGGACAACAAUUGAUUGUAAAUGCCGAUAUCAGUUAAGUGUAGUGUUUUAGUAUGUUAUUUUUCUUCCCCCCGUUUAUCUCUUAGCCUAAUUUGCAUUCUGAACCGCUGGAUAUAUAUAUUAUUUCAUCGUUUAAUUCUGUAUCCCCCGUUUCCCAAUCACUAGUAACGUUCAAUCCAUUUUUUAAAGUGUUUAAGAGCAAGCAAAGAUUUCGAUCAGUUGGCACCUACAAAAGAGGACAAGAAAAAAAAACUUUGCGACUGUCGACAACGAUGAAACGAAUUUAUGAUAAGCAAUUAUUGUUCCCUGCAAUUAUCAUGCUUGAGUAAAUUAUGAUAGCAUUUCAUUCGUGCAUGAUUUCUACGCUAUUAGUGUGGGGCGCUGUGGAGGAUAUAGGAAGCACGGGAGCAGAGAGCCGUUGUUUAGAACUUAUUUUUAUACGAUAGUGUUUGUGGGGGUGGGGGGGGGGAGACGGGGGAGGACAGGUGGUGAAGUGACGGGACGGAAGGAGUGUUCAACUUUUGUCCUAUCGUCGUGUCGAUGUUUCUUGGUAGAGCUGAAUGCAUGCAAGGCAGAGGAAGUGCCAGUGUUGCAUUUGCGUUGCACACUAAUAUUUAAAGCAAGUGAGAAGAACGUGAAGCGAGUGAAGUGGACAAUUUUACAUCUUAAAGGACAUCGAUCUAACGAUUGCAAUGUCCUUCCCAUGUGCUGGGAAGGAUUUGCGUUUUGUUUAAUUUUAUCUAGUUGCAAACAUAAAUAUGCUUUCCUGCCUUUGCAGGAGGAAGAGCACGAAUUCUGCAUUGUUUUAUGUCUUCGUUUUAUUUGCACUGAAUUAAUUGUUCAGCAAAUUACAGGGUUGCUCAGUGCCAGUUCAGCAUCGUACCACUAUAGUCCUGAUUAUCAAACACAAACGUCUUCUCAAACGUCGGUAAACUGUUUGGUUUGGUAUUAUGGCUAUCCGUUGGGCUUAAUCAAACGUUUACAAAUCGGUGCCAGAUGCUUCUCAAACGGAAAGUAAAAAAUCGCAUCACCCAUACCAAACAUACGUUAGAAAAUUUUUUGCUCCGUCAGCCGUGUUCAACGGAAAGUAAAAUUUUCUUCCGUUAAAAUUAUUUUUGGUUCGAUAUCAAAGGAAAAAAAAUAAUUUUGAAUAUUUUAAAUUAGUUAUCACAGCAACUGCUAAUUUUUAGCUAAUUUUUUUUAAUUUAUUUUAAUUGAGUAAUCUACAGGAGCCAGUCAAAAGCAAGAGAGCUACAACAGCACAGUUCAAAACAAAGUUUUUUUUUUAAUUUAACAAUUACAAAGUAUGCCAUUGCUUCGACUCACGAGCUGCCUGCUUCGAGUUGCAUGCCCUUACCAUCGAAUGCGCGACAUAACGACCGAAUCACAUGCCGUUACCAUGGAAUCAUGGGCCGAUUUACAUGGAUUUUUGAAUGCUCCUGUAUGAAGCAUUUGAUGUAAUGAAUAGCCCGGUUAGGCUGUCACCAUUAGAAAACAUUUUGCUGGCAUUUUUAUACGAAUAAACGGCUAAUAAACCAUAAAUGGCAAGAAAAUGUGUCGUACAAUACCAACAUCAAACAGUAGCGAUAAACGAAGCGAGACUAGCUUUUCUAGCUAGAGUUUAUUGGUGAUCUAUACAUUAAACAGGCGGAAAUGAACGUGUUCGGAUGGCAAAGAAAACUUGGAAAAGUCUUGAAGCAAUUUGUUUACAUUUUUCUUUUACAAUUUGUGAAUUUUUCGUUGAAUUCUUGGAAAUAGUUGGUACGUUCAUUUUUGCUUUGACACAAUAUGUAAAACACGCGUAAAAUAAUUUAAAAUAAUGCUUUCCAUUGCGUUUAGUCGUUAAAAUUAUCCUGUUAAAAUUAUCCGUAAGUUCUUCGAGAGAAGAAGCGAAUUUGAAAUGUUAUAACAUUCACAAAUCCAUGGAUACCGGCACGUGAUUCCAUAGAAACGGCUUGCGAUUCGACCAUAGGGUCACUCUUUCGAUGGUAAUGGCUCGAAGCAGGCAGCUCGUGAGUCGAAGCAAACGGUGAGCGAUUCGAAUGUAACUGUAAACAGGUGUAAUACAAAUUUUGCUUUCCGUUUGGUUAGAUGCUUUCCGUCGGAAGGUUUUCCAUUUGCAUUUGACCAUCAGGACUCUUAUAUGUCAACAGCAUAAAACGUUUAUCCAACGUUUAUCAGUUGGGAUUUUACGGAGUUUGAAAGUCUGUUUUUCGAUGUUGAAAAGAGCUAACAAGGUUGUACGGCAUAUACGGUGUUGAAUUAGCGUUUGAUACUGUUGAUACGUGAUACUGUUACAAUGUGGAACUCGUCUGGAAAACCCUGUAAGAGGAAUGUUUUGUGAAUGUAAUCAUUCUUUCACCAUUUUAUCACCCCCCCGAGCGAAUGUUUUUUUCCCCCCAUCUGCACACGUGCAAAGUUUUUGGAACCUUAAACUAGUGGAAAAGGCACACAUACACACACACAUACACGUUUGUGACACGACAGAGUAUAACAAAAAGCAGCUGUGAGCAAACAGAUUCAGAGAAAGGGAGAGAGAGAGAGAGUUAAGAAAGAUCGAGUAUACAUAUAAAUAUAUACAUACAUUAUUAUAUAUGUAUAUCGUCCACGGUUUUUUGCUAGAUAAUAUUGUAUUGAAUAGUUUAUUUUUUAUCCCAUAUUUCCUUUUCUAACAAAACCGAAAACCAACUUCCCCAACCCAACCUUCCCCCUUAUCUUUUUUAUCAAUAGUGGUAUGAAAAUUGUAGAAAUGUUUUAUAAAACCACAGCCACACCUAAACACACACACACACGCAGAAGAAGAAGAUGGUAAAGGCGAGGGCACGAUAAUGAUGAAAUGAGGCAACAUAUUUAGAAUUGUGAACAAACGAGCCAGAAGUAUGCAGAAUGACUAGUAACACAGUAAUAUGGAGGUGUAGUAAAAGAAAAAGCGAAAUAGAGCGCAAGACAAGAGAGAGAGAGAGAGAGAGAGAGAGAGAGAGACAGGGCGAACGGAGAAGAGAACACAUACUAGGCGCAGUAUACCGCAGUAGAGAUACGUGUCUAAUAUUUUUGUUUAAUCUAGUUAAAAUUGUAUAAAAAAAAACUUAUAUGGUGUAAUGAUGGUGGUUUGUGUUGGUUUGUGUUGCUGCAUAGCUGUGUGUUUGUGUGCGUUUGGGAGAAAGAAAGCUGUAUUGUUUUUGGACUGGUUUUUCCCCCCCCGAUUUUAACGAUUUUUACUGACCACUAUUACCACCAGUUGUGUUUUUUUAACUUUGGAUUUUUGUAUCAAGAAAAGGAACAGUGCGCGUGUGUGCGUGUGUGUGCCAUUAUUAGCGAAAAAGCAGGAAAGUGCUUAGGAUAACCCCCAGCACAGCAAACGAGUUCCGGGGAAGAAAGUAAGAAAAAAGUCAACCGGUCGAAUUAAGCGAAAUAUGCGUAGCGAAAGAAGCAAGUUGUUUAGCGUUGGUUGGUUGUGUGUUAGGUGUAACGAAUCGUCUGCCUUUCUGCCCUGCGAAUGCGUUUGUAUCUGAAUAAUUUGCCGGUCCGCUGGUCUUAUCUUUUGAGCGCAACUGGCUGCUGUGUGCAUCCUACAACCAUUAUGGGGUUAGUUCAGCCGCCCGGCGUGACACAGGAAGGCACUGUGCGACGGGAACCUUAAUAGAACCGCGGGACCUCUCUCGUGGUGAAACUGCUACGG